CUUCUGUCCCCAGGUAGAGUGGAUUGGCAUGAAGACUGUGGAUGUGGGCAGACAAGGCAGGCAAUCACAAAGGAGAAGCUGAGGCCAUGUGAAGUUGAAGGGUCAAACAGUCUCAGGAUGCAUGUUAGCACUGAGUCAUCUCUGUGGAUCCAGAAGAAUUCAUUUGGAAAAGAAAGCGAAGAAGCUGCCCUGAGCCACCACAAAUGAUCUGCCACAACUACACUAGUGAGGAUGAACACUUAAGAGCCUGGUGUAAACCUCUGUGCUGCUGAAUGCCUAGCUGAUGGUAUACAAGAAAACAGGAAGUUUCAGGAGUCAGUUCUCCCAGGAUGGAGCCCCCAGCACGAGAAAGAAGUGGUCCUGUUGGAGAGAGUGUGGAAGAGACCAUAAGUAUGCUCAGAAAGCUUAAACACCUCUCCUUUGAAGACAGGCUGAGGAAGCUGGGCUUGUUCAGCUUGGAGAAGAGAAGUCUCUGUGGAUACCUCAUUGUGGCCUUUCACUGCCUAAAGAGAGCUUGCAAGAAAGAUGGAGAGCAACUUUACGUGGACAUGUAGUGAUAAGACAAGGGCUUAUUCCUGCUUGGAUGAAUGUUCCUUGUCAACUUCUUGAAAAAUAUGUGGACCAUAGUGCAGGCUCACUGUUGUCACAGCCAACUGGUGGUGG
This is a long non-coding RNA of Lagopus muta (rock ptarmigan), 663 nucleotides long. RefSeq lists it as uncharacterized. The transcript is spliced from 4 exons. The record is from RefSeq and is a predicted model, not a curated record. Lineage: Eukaryota; Metazoa; Chordata; Aves; Galliformes; Phasianidae.